Molecule: ribosomal RNA, 483 nt
Filed under: uncultured bacterium
Lineage: Bacteria
Description: partial 16S ribosomal RNA
Rfam family: Bacterial small subunit ribosomal RNA
Source: RNAcentral
UUGCACGCUGGCGGCAGGCCUAACCCAUGCAAGUCGAGCGGAUGAAGGGAGCUUGCUCCUGGCUUCAGCGGCGGACGGGUGAGUAAUGCCUAGGAAUCUGCCUGGUAGUGGGGGAUAACGUCCGGAAACGGGCGCUAAUACCGCAUACGUCCUGAGGGAGAAAGUGGGGGAUCUUCGGACCUCACGCUAUCAGAUGAGCCUAGGUCGGAUUAGCUAGUUGGUGGGGUAAAGGCCUACCAAGGCGACGAUCCGUAACUGGUCUGAGAGGAUGAUCAGUCACACUGGAACUGAGACACGGUCCAGACUCCUACGGGAGGCAGCAGUGGGGAAUAUUGGACAAUGGGCGAAAGCCUGAUCCAGCCAUGCCGCGUGUGUGAAGAAGGUCCUCGGAUUGUAAAGCACUUUAAGUUGGGAGGAAGGGCAGUAAGUUAAUACCUUGCUGUUUUGACGUUACCAACAGAAUAAGCACCGGCUAACUUCGUG